GGGAGAUAUUUAAAACAAGCUAUUAAAACACUUCUUAAAAUCAGGCUUUGAAAUUUGGAAAUAACUGAGAUUAGCCAAUUAGGAUUGGAGUGGAGAAAGAAGAGAAAGUCAGAAUGCCUGUUCAGAGGAAAGCCCGCAAAAACAACCCCCUGAAGACACCGCACUGAGAAAUGGAGAGGCCAUGGAGUUUUGCCUCAUCGCAAAAUCAGGGGAAGGAAUUCCAGCGUCACCAGGAGAGGAAUCGGGCCCAUCCGAGAGCGACCCUGAAGAUGGCCCACUGGUAAUCCCCUCAUUUUUUUGAAGGGGAGGCAGCACGUCAGAUCCCUAUCAUGAUACUGCCAUUCAAGUGGGGAGGGAAUUCUCCUGGAUUCUUUUACUCGUUUAUUGCUCUCAUCCUGUUUCCUAUGUAUCCUGUAAUUCCCUAGUUUAUAACUUUUACCCUAUUACCUAUUCUGCUCUGUGCUUUGAUUUACCUUGGGGAAUGUAUAAGGUGGGAGGGCCAUCUGUUUUCUAUCAGUUUGGAAGCCUUACAGAAGAAGCACAUGUGAACAACUCCUUAUCUCAUUCUCAGGACAACCGUUUCCACAAUAUCUUCGCACCUGUGUAUUGGCUCAUUCAACAUCAAACUAAGGGGAGGGGUUUCUAACCACUUUAUCCUAAUGGAAUUGCCUGGGGGGGGAGGUGUGAGCUCAGACCCUGCUUUGCAUUAUCUUUCAUUCACUUCCUUCCAAUAAAAGUUUCUUUGUUAAAUGCUAAA
This is a long non-coding RNA of Pantherophis guttatus, 757 nucleotides long. RefSeq lists it as uncharacterized. The record is from RefSeq and is a predicted model, not a curated record. NCBI's taxonomy places the organism in Eukaryota, Metazoa, Chordata, Lepidosauria, Squamata, Colubridae.